UACGUAGGCGGUUAGUUAAGUUAGAUGUGAAAGCCCCGGGCUUAACCUGGGAACUGCAUUUAAAACUGGUUAGCUAGAGUUGAGUAGAGGGGAGUGGAAUUUCAGGUGUAGCGGUGAAAUGCGUAGAGAUCUGAAGGAACACCAGUGGCGAAGGCGACUCCCUGGACUCAAACUGACGCUGAGGUACGAAAGCGUGGGUAGCAAACAGGAUUAGAUACCCUGGUAGUCC
RNAcentral lists this ribosomal RNA (229 nucleotides) under uncultured bacterium. RNAcentral's name for it is "partial 16S ribosomal RNA". It matches the Rfam family "Bacterial small subunit ribosomal RNA", at positions 568 to 796 of the family's 1533-position model. The record is from RNAcentral.